Molecule: long non-coding RNA, 1317 nt
Filed under: Sarcophilus harrisii (Tasmanian devil)
Lineage: Eukaryota; Metazoa; Chordata; Mammalia; Dasyuromorphia; Dasyuridae
Description: lncRNA (ENSSHAG00000023644.1)
Source: RNAcentral
GCUGGGCUGAUGAUUUAUGUCAUAGGGUCAUAGGCUUAGCUGGAAAGGACUCAGAGAUCAUCUGAUUCAGCCUCCUCAUUUUACAAAUAAAGAAACCAAGGCACAGAGAAGUGAAGUUUCUUUCUAAAAAUCACAGAGCUGAUGAAGAAACCAUCAAUGGAAAUGAUUGUCUAUUGUCAAUCAGCCAGAAUUCCCGAGUCCCAUUUUUCUUACUGUGAGGAAAGAAGAAAAAACAAGAUGAAGGGACAGUAGAGAUAAAAGCAUUAAAGACUGCAUUGUCUCACUCCCUAACUUUUUGGAGAAAAAAUCAAGGAGGAGAGGGAUUUGAAUCUUGAUAUAAAUUUAUCUGUACCUCAGGUUCUCCAAGAGGACUAUGGGAUAUCUAAGGUACCCUGUGGGGAAAACCUGCAAAGGAACCUAGAGGCAAGACAUCUGAUCAUCCCUGCUCUGCUUGGAGCUGGAGAUGGCUCUCUCAAAAACUACACAAAAAUCCCAGCAACUCGUAGCGCUAGGACUUCAUCAGGAAAUAUAACCCUUGGUCUACUCAACUUUAAGCCUUGGCUCUGCCGUUUAUCAACUGGUCAAGUAACUUUGGCUUUUGGUAUCUCUCCUUAUAUGCAAGAUAAGAUAUGAACCUAUAGGAUAUACCUCUCAGAGUUGUUGUAAAGUUCAAGUGAUCUAUCACACAGUCUCUCUCUCUGUGUGUGUCUGUCUUUCCAUCUAUCCAUCCAUCCAUCCAUCCAGCUAGCUAGCUAUCCUUAUCCUUAUAUCUGUCUCUUGGCAAACUUUAAAACCUGGCAGCUAAAGCUCCAGCAUGGCACUCAAAAUUCUCCAAUUUAUCCAUUUAGUCUUCUUUCAUAUUUCUUCUCUUCACACUCUCAACAUUCUAGUCCAAUUAACGUGCCAGCUAUUCUCUAUAAAUGGUAUUUCAUCACCUGUUUACCCACCUUUGAACUGGCAGUGCCCAUGUCUAGAAUGUACUCCCUCUUCAUCAUCUCUUAAAGUCCCUAAAUCCCUUUAAGGACAGUUCAGACUCUACUUCCUAAAUAAGCAGCUCUUCUGGAUUUCCCUAUGAUCUUAGUGUCCCGUCUUCCCUUUCUCCCCUUCCUCUUCUCUUAUCAAUAGUUAUAACUAAACUUUGGGUUUGUUUGUGUACAUGUUGUUCCUUGUGGCAGAAUGUAAGCUCUGUAAGGUCAAAACUGUUUCUUUUUUCUUUUUUUUUUUUUGUCUCCUCAUUGCCUUCACAGUGACUAGCACAUGGUAGGUUCUCAAUAAAGAUUUAUUAUAUUGAAAAUGGUAUACAAAUGUCAAGAGAAG